GAUGCUGACGAGUGGCGAACGGGUGAGUAAUACAUCGGAACGUGCCCGAUCGUGGGGGAUAACGGAGCGAAAGCUUUGCUAAUACCGCAUACGAUCUACGGAUGAAAGCAGGGGACCGCAAGGCCUUGCGCGAACGGAGCGGCCGAUGGCAGAUUAGGUAGUUGGUGGGAUAAAAGCUUACCAAGCCGACGAUCUGUAGCUGGUCUGAGAGGACGACUAGCCACACUGGGACUGAGACACGGCCCAGACUCCUACGGGAGGCAGCAGUGGGGAAUUUUGGACAAUGGGCGAAAGCCUGAUCCAGCCAUGCCGCGUGCAGGAUGAAGGCCUUCGGGUUGUAAAGCACUUUAAGCGAGGAGGAGGCUCCUAUAGAUAAUACCUAUAGAGAGUGGACGUUACUCGCAGAAUAAGCACCGGCUAACUCUGUGCCAGCAGCCGCGGUAAUACAGAGGGUGCGAGCGUUAAUCGGAUUUACUGGGCGUAAAGCGUGCGUAGGUGGCUAAUUAAGUCAAAUGUGAAAUCCCCGAGCUUAACUUGGGA
RNAcentral lists this ribosomal RNA (540 nucleotides) under uncultured Comamonadaceae bacterium. RNAcentral's name for it is "bacterial SSU rRNA". It matches the Rfam family "Bacterial small subunit ribosomal RNA", at positions 84 to 619 of the family's 1533-position model. Lineage: Bacteria; Pseudomonadati; Pseudomonadota; Betaproteobacteria; Burkholderiales; Comamonadaceae. The record is from RNAcentral.